AUGCUUCUGAGCAUUUUGGAUAAGGGAUGCUCAACCUGUACCAAACACCUGUUAUUAAAGAUGAACUGGGAGUAUGCUUGGGUUGUCGCUUGUCCUUCUCCCAGGUGCCAAGCUUUCAGCCGUCAGCCUGACGUCCGCCCUUUCUGGGGGCUCCUCGUGCCCAGUCUGAGAACCUCACCAGAUACGCGGACAGCAGGCGAGGCUAGAACAGCUGCAGAUACAGCCAAGUGCCCCUGUCCGCUUGACCCGAGCGCUUCACAUGCACAAGGUCAGAAACGUUUCCAGCAGUGGAAUUUAAUUUGA
Molecule: long non-coding RNA, 303 nt
Filed under: Chinchilla lanigera (long-tailed chinchilla)
Lineage: Eukaryota; Metazoa; Chordata; Mammalia; Rodentia; Chinchillidae
Description: lncRNA (ENSCLAG00000022368.1)
Source: RNAcentral